RNAcentral lists this ribosomal RNA (521 nucleotides) under uncultured Glomeraceae. RNAcentral describes it as "SSU rRNA". It matches the Rfam family "Eukaryotic small subunit ribosomal RNA", at positions 569 to 1092 of the family's 1831-position model. The record is from RNAcentral. Lineage: Eukaryota; Fungi; Glomeromycota; Glomeromycetes; Glomerales; Glomeraceae.
AGCAGCCGCGGUAAUUCCAGCUCCAAUAGCGUAUAUUAAAGUUGUUGCAGUUAAAAAGCUCGUAGUUGAAUUUCGGGAUCAAUGCGUCGGUCGUGCCUCGGUACGUACUAACGAUAUUGAUUUCUCCCUUCUGACGAACCGUGAUGUCAUUAAUUUGGUGUUACGGGGAGUUAGGACUGUUACUUUGAAAAAAUUAGAGUGUUUAAAGCAAGCAAUCGCUCGAAUACAUUAGCAUGGAAUAAUGAAAUAGGACGUUCGACCCUAUUUUGUUGGUUUCUAGGAUCGACGUAAUGAUUAAUAGGGAUAGUUGGGGGCAUUAGUAUUCAAUUGUCAGAGGUGAAAUUCUUGGAUUUAUUGAAGACUAACUACUGCGAAAGCAUUUGCCAAGGAUGUUUUCAUUAAUCAAGAACGAAAGUUAGGGGAUCGAAGACGAUCAGAUACCGUCGUAGUCUUAACCAUAAACUAUGCCGACUAGGGAUCGGAUGAUGUUAAUUUUUUAAUGACUCAUUCGGCGCCUUACG